UGAGCAUUAUUGUGUUUUACAAUUUUAAGGAGACAUUUUUUGAGGGAGCUACCUUAACAACAAAUUUAUAGUAUUGUCACUCCAAGCAUUUGGAGAAUUUUCUUGGAAACCUUGGCUCAUAGCAUUUGGAAUGGAUGCCACAAGCUGGAAUAUAUUAAGGAAAAGUAAGAACUUCAACCAAGUGGAAAAGUUUGAGAUCAACAGACGUGCCUUAUCUUUAAUUCUUUACCUGUUGAGAUCUCCAUUUUAUGAUCAGUAUUCAAAGUGUCAAAUUAUAGCCUUUCUUAAGAGCAUAAUUGAUAAUGUUAUAGGAAGUGGACUGAUACUGCGUAAGCUACAUUUUUAUUGUUUU
Stegodyphus dumicola is the source of this 352-nucleotide long non-coding RNA. The record is from RefSeq and is a predicted model, not a curated record. NCBI's taxonomy places the organism in Eukaryota, Metazoa, Arthropoda, Arachnida, Araneae, Eresidae.